RNAcentral lists this long non-coding RNA (512 nucleotides) under Parus major (Great Tit). Its description in RNAcentral is "lncRNA (ENSPMJG00000018519.1)". The record is from RNAcentral. Lineage: Eukaryota; Metazoa; Chordata; Aves; Passeriformes; Paridae.
GGAAUUAUUAACUGAUUGAUCUGCAAAGUACGACAGGUGAUGAAUCAACCCAAAUUUACUCAGUUUUCACACACAUACACACGCCCUCGUGCAAUUUGUUCUCGACAAACUGGAGUAUAAGGAAGUCUGAUUCUUAAGCAUGUGAACCAUAAGAAUCUUGAAAAUCAAGCAGAAUACUGGAAGCAUAUAAAUAAUACAAGAGCUUGAAACGCAUUCCCUAUACGGUAGUUGGUGGCUUCUGCUCACGGGAAGCUGCACUCCAAUUACAGCAGGAGCACCAGUGGGCCAGCGGUGCCAGCACUGCAGGAACAGGGUGAAACCUCGCUUCGAGACCAUGGAUGAGGAGUGGGGCAUGGAGAGCUCUGCUCCCAGACCUGCCACAUAACUGAGCCCUUCAGUUUGAGCUAAGGUGUUCCACCUUGGAAGCAAGGACAGAAUUUGAUGGCCUCUGCAACAACAUCAGUGAUAAAAUUUAAUUUUAAAGGAGGUGCAUGUGCAAACCCCACCUGGCU